RNAcentral lists this ribosomal RNA (1468 nucleotides) under Salmonella enterica subsp. enterica serovar Enteritidis. RNAcentral describes it as "bacterial SSU rRNA". It matches the Rfam family "Bacterial small subunit ribosomal RNA". The record is from RNAcentral. Lineage: Bacteria; Pseudomonadati; Pseudomonadota; Gammaproteobacteria; Enterobacterales; Enterobacteriaceae.
UGCUGCUUUGCUGACGAGUGGCGGACGGGUGAGUAAUGUCUGGGAAACUGCCUGAUGGAGGGGGAUAACUACUGGAAACGGUGGCUAAUACCGCAUAACGUCGCAAGACCAAAGAGGGGGACCUUCGGGCCUCUUGCCAUCAGAUGUGCCCAGAUGGGAUUAGCUUGUUGGUGAGGUAACGGCUCACCAAGGCGACGAUCCCUAGCUGGUCUGAGAGGAUGACCAGCCACACUGGAACUGAGACACGGUCCAGACUCCUACGGGAGGCAGCAGUGGGGAAUAUUGCACAAUGGGCGCAAGCCUGAUGCAGCCAUGCCGCGUGUAUGAAGAAGGCCUUCGGGUUGUAAAGUACUUUCAGCGGGGAGGAAGGUGUUGUGGUUAAUAACCGCAGCAAUUGACGUUACCCGCAGAAGAAGCACCGGCUAACUCCGUGCCAGCAGCCGCGGUAAUACGGAGGGUGCAAGCGUUAAUCGGAAUUACUGGGCGUAAAGCGCACGCAGGCGGUCUGUCAAGUCGGAUGUGAAAUCCCCGGGCUCAACCUGGGAACUGCAUUCGAAACUGGCAGGCUUGAGUCUUGUAGAGGGGGGUAGAAUUCCAGGUGUAGCGGUGAAAUGCGUAGAGAUCUGGAGGAAUACCGGUGGCGAAGGCGGCCCCCUGGACAAAGACUGACGCUCAGGUGCGAAAGCGUGGGGAGCAAACAGGAUUAGAUACCCUGGUAGUCCACGCCGUAAACGAUGUCUACUUGGAGGUUGUGCCCUUGAGGCGUGGCUUCCGGAGCUAACGCGUUAAGUAGACCGCCUGGGGAGUACGGCCGCAAGGUUAAAACUCAAAUGAAUUGACGGGGGCCCGCACAAGCGGUGGAGCAUGUGGUUUAAUUCGAUGCAACGCGAAGAACCUUACCUGGUCUUGACAUCCACAGAAGAAUCCAGAGAUGGAUUUGUGCCUUCGGGAACUGUGAGACAGGUGCUGCAUGGCUGUCGUCAGCUCGUGUUGUGAAAUGUUGGGUUAAGUCCCGCAACGAGCGCAACCCUUAUCCUUUGUUGCCAGCGGUUAGGCCGGGAACUCAAAGGAGACUGCCAGUGAUAAACUGGAGGAAGGUGGGGAUGACGUCAAGUCAUCAUGGCCCUUACGACCAGGGCUACACACGUGCUACAAUGGCGCAUACAAAGAGAAGCGACCUCGCGAGAGCAAGCGGACCUCAUAAAGUGCGUCGUAGUCCGGAUUGGAGUCUGCAACUCGACUCCAUGAAGUCGGAAUCGCUAGUAAUCGUGGAUCAGAAUGCCACGGUGAAUACGUUCCCGGGCCUUGUACACACCGCCCGUCACACCAUGGGAGUGGGUUGCAAAAGAAGUAGGUAGCUUAACCUUCGGGAGGGCGCUUACCACUUUGUGAUUCAUGACUGGGGUGAAGUCGUAACAAGGUAACCGUAGGGGAACCUGCGGUUGGAUCACCUCCUUACCUUAAAGAA